GGCAACCGAGUGGUGGAUCUUGUUGACCCUCAGGCGUGGGACCAUCAGGUCGUAAUUAACAAUCAACUCAGAACUGGAGCGGACAAAGGGAAUCCGACUGUUUAAUUAAAACACAGCAUUGUGAUGGCCGGAAACAGUGUUGACACAAUGUGAUUUCUGCCCAGUGCUAUGAAUGUCAAAGUGAAGAAAUUCAACCAAGCUCUGGUAAACGGCGGGAGUAACUAUGACUCUCUUAAGGUAGCCAAAUGCCUUGUCAUCUAAUUAGUGACGCGCAUGAAUGGAUUAACGAGAUUCCUACUGUCCCUAUCUACUAUCUAGCGAACCCACAGCUAAGGGCAUGGGCUUAGCGAAAUCAGCGGGGAAAGAAGACCCUAUUGAGUUUGACUCUAGUCCGACUUUGUGAAGUAACCUGGCAGGUGUAGUGUAAGUGGGAGCUUUUGCGUCAAUGAAACACCACUACUAUCAGCGUUAUUUUGCUUAUUCCCUCGUGUUGAAUCCUACGUGGUUCUUGAGCUAAGGUCAUUUAUUGGCCGAACUAGGGGGAAGACAUAGUCAGGUGGGAGUUUGGCUGGGGCGGCACAUCCAUUAAAAGGUAACGUGGGUGCCCUAGGUUGAGCUCAAAGAGAACAGAAAUCUCUUGUAGACCGAAAGGGGAAAAGCUCAAUUGAACUUGAUUUUCAGUAAAAAUACAGUAUGCGGAAGCACGGCCUAUUGAUCCUUUGAUUUAGAAUGUUUCUAGCCAGAGGUGACAGAAAAAUUACCAUAGGGAUAACUGGCUUGAGGCAGCCAAGCGUUCAUAGCGACGUUACCGUUUGAUCCUUCGAUGUCGGCUCUUCCUAUCAUCAAGAAGCAGAAUUCUUGAAGUGUNGGAUUGUUCACCCGUUAAUAGGGAACGUGAGCUGGGAUNAGACCGUCGUGAGACAGGUUAGUUUUACCCUACUGAUGAACGAUGUUGCUCAGUAAUUCNACUUNUNCGAGAGGAACAGUUGGGUCAAAUUNUGGGUUAUGCGGUUGGNUGAAAGCCAGGGCGNGGGCUNCCNUUUGUGAUUAUGACNGACNCCUAAGUCANAUCCAUNCGUUUU
RNAcentral lists this ribosomal RNA (1082 nucleotides) under Nyctotherus ovalis. Its description in RNAcentral is "eukaryotic LSU rRNA". It matches the Rfam family "Eukaryotic large subunit ribosomal RNA", at positions 2041 to 3152 of the family's 3401-position model. Lineage: Eukaryota; Ciliophora; Armophorea; Clevelandellida; Nyctotheridae. The record is from RNAcentral.